Molecule: ribosomal RNA, 373 nt
Filed under: uncultured Psychrilyobacter sp.
Lineage: Bacteria; Fusobacteriati; Fusobacteriota; Fusobacteriia; Fusobacteriales; Fusobacteriaceae
Description: bacterial SSU rRNA
Rfam family: Bacterial small subunit ribosomal RNA
Source: RNAcentral
AAAAUGCAAGUCGACUGGAAUUCUUCUUCGGAAGAUAGUACGGUGGCGGACGGGUGAGUAACGCGUAAAGAAUUUGCCCUUCAGACUGGGACAACUAAUCGAAAGGUUAGCUAAUACCGGAUAUUAUGAGACCUUGGCAUCAAGGACUUAUGAAAGCUAUAUGCGCUGGAGGAGAACUUUGCGUUCCAUUAGCUAGUUGGUAGGGUAAUGGCCUACCAAGGCGACGAUGGAUAGCCGGCCUGAGAGGGUGAACGGCCACAAGGGGACUGAGACACGGCCCUUACUCCUACGGGAGGCAGCAGUGGGGAAUAUUGGACAAUGGACCAAAAGUCUGAUCCAGCAAUUCUGUGUGCACGAUGAAGGUCUUCGGAUU